GAUGAAGAACGCAGCGUAAUGCGAUACGUAAUGUGAAUUGCAGAAUUCAGUGAAUCAUCGAGUCUUUGAACGCACAUUGCGCCCCCUGGUAUUCCGGGGGGCAUGCCUGUCCGAGCGUCAUUGCUGCCCUCAAGCACGGCUUGUGUGUUGGGCCUCCGUCCUCCUCCCGGGGGACGGGCCCGAAAGGCAGCGGCGGCACCGCGUCCGGUCCUCGAGCGUAUGGGGCUUCGUCACCCGCUCUUGUAGGCCCGGCCGGCGCUUGCCGACACAUCAAUCUUUUUUCCAGGUUGACCUCGGAUCAGGUAGGGAUACCCGCUGAACUUAAGCAUAUCAAUAAGCGGAGGA
This 345-nucleotide unclassified non-coding RNA is filed under the name soil metagenome. RNAcentral describes it as "partial contains 5.8S ribosomal RNA, internal transcribed spacer 2, and large subunit ribosomal RNA". The stretch from base 1 to 120 matches the Rfam family "5.8S ribosomal RNA", at positions 35 to 154 of the family's 154-position model. The record is from RNAcentral.